GACGAACGCUGGCGGCGUGCCUAAUACAUGCCAGUAGAACGCUGAAGAGAGGAGCUUGCUCUUCUUGGGUGAGUUGCGCACGGGUGAGUAACGCGUAGGUAACCUGCCUUGUAGCGGGGGAUAACUAUUGGAAACGAUAGCUAAUACCGCAUAACAAUGGAUGACACAUGUCAUUUAUGUGAAAGGGGCAAUUGCUCCACUACAAGAUGGACCUGCGUUGUAUUAGCUAGUAGGUGAGGUAAUGGCGCACCUAGGCGGCGAUACCGAGCCGACCUGAUAGGGUGGUCGGCCACACUGGGAGGGAGACCGGGCACAGACGGCUACGGGAGGCAGCAGGAGGGAAUCGUGGGCAAGGGGGGGAGACCAGAGCGAGAAACGCCGAGUGAGGGAAGAGGGAUGUCGGAUCGGGAAGGUCGGUUGUAAGUCAAGAACGGGUGUGAGCGUGGAACGAUCACAGAGUGACGGUAGCGGAUAAGAAAGGGACGGCUAACUACGUG
RNAcentral lists this ribosomal RNA (497 nucleotides) under uncultured bacterium. RNAcentral describes it as "partial 16S ribosomal RNA". It matches the Rfam family "Bacterial small subunit ribosomal RNA", at positions 28 to 507 of the family's 1533-position model. The record is from RNAcentral.